GGCGUGCCUAAUACAUGCAAGUCGAGCGAACAGAUGAGAAGCUUGCUUCUCUGAUGUUAGCGGCGGACGGGUGAGUAACACGUGGGUAACCUACCUAUAAGACUGGGAUAACUCCGGGAAACCGGGGCUAAUACCGGAUAAUAUUUUGAACCGCAUGGUUCAAUAGUGAAAGACGGUUUCGGCUGUCACUUAUAGAUGGACCCGCGCCGUAUUAGCUAGUUGGUAAGGUAAUGGCUUACCAAGGCGACGAUACGUAGCCGACCUGAGAGGGUGAUCGGCCACACUGGAACUGAGACACGGUCCAGACUCCUACGGGAGGCAGCAGUAGGGAAUCUUCCGCAAUGGGCGAAAGCCUGACGGAGCAACGCCGCGUGAGUGAUGAAGGUCUUCGGAUCGUAAAACUCUGUUGUUAGGGAAGAACAAAUUUGUUAGUAACUGAACAAGUCUUGACGGUACCUAACCAGAAAGCCACGGCUAACUACGUGCCAGCAGCCGCGGUAAUACGUAGGUGGCAAGCGUUAUCCGGAAUUAUUGGGCGUAAAGCGCGCGUAGGCGGCUUCUUAAGUCUGAUGUGAAAGCCCACGGCUCAACCGUGGAGGGUCAUUGGAAACUGGGAAACUUGAGUGCAGAAGAGGAGAGUGGAAUUCCAUGUGUAGCGGUGAAAUGCGCAGAGAUAUGGAGGAACACCAGUGGCGAAGGCGGCUCUCUGGUCUGUAACUGACGCUGAUGUGCGAAAGCGUGGGGAUCAAACAGGAUUAGAUACCCUGGUAGUCCACGCCGUAAACGAUGAGUGCUAAGUGUUAGGGGGUUUCCGCCCCUUAGUGCUGCAGCUAACGCAUUAAGCACUCCGCCUGGGGAGUACGACCGCAAGGUUGAAACUCAAAGGAAUUGACGG
RNAcentral lists this ribosomal RNA (895 nucleotides) under uncultured Staphylococcus sp. RNAcentral's name for it is "bacterial SSU rRNA". It matches the Rfam family "Bacterial small subunit ribosomal RNA", at positions 41 to 916 of the family's 1533-position model. The record is from RNAcentral. Lineage: Bacteria; Bacillati; Bacillota; Bacilli; Caryophanales; Staphylococcaceae.